GGAUAACCUACCCUUAGGACUGGGAUAACCCUGGGAAACUGGGGCUAAUACCGGAUAGGCAAUUAUUCCUGCAAUGGUUUUUUGUUUAAAUGUUUUUUCGCCUAAGGAUGGGUCUGCGGCCGAUUAGGUAGUUGGUUAGGUAAUGGCUUACCAAGCCGUUGAUCGGUACGGGUUGUGAGAGCAAGAGCCCGGAGAUGGAACCUGAGACAAGGUUCCAGGCCCUACGGGGUGCAGCAGGCGCGAAACCUCCGCAAUGUGAGAAAUCGCGACGGGGGGAUCCCAAGUGCCAUUCUUAACGGGAUGGCUUUUCAUUAGUGUAAAAAGCUUUUGGAAUAAGAGCUGGGCAAGACCGGUGCCAGCCGCCGCGGUAACACCGGCAGCUCUAGUGGUAGCAAUUUUUAUUGGGCCUAAAGCGUCCGUAGCCGGUUUAAUAAGUCUCUGGUGAAAUCCUGUAGCUUAACUGUGGGAAUUGCUGGAGAUACUAUUAGACUUGAGACCGGGAGAGGUUAGAGGUACUCCCAGGGUAGAGGUGAAAUUCUGUAAUCCUGGGAGGACCGCCUGUUGCGAAGGCGUCUAACUGGAACGGUUCUGACGGUGAGGGACGAAAGUUAGGGGCGCGAACCGGAUUAGAUACCCGGGUAGUCCUAACUGUAAACGAUGCGGACUUGGUGUUGGGGUGGCUUUGAGCUGCU
This 692-nucleotide ribosomal RNA is filed under the name uncultured archaeon. RNAcentral describes it as "bacterial SSU rRNA". It matches the Rfam family "Archaeal small subunit ribosomal RNA", at positions 102 to 794 of the family's 1478-position model. The record is from RNAcentral.